CCUACGGGUGGCAGCAGUGAGGAAUAUUGGUCAAUGGACGAGAGUCUGAACCAGCCAAGCCGCGUGAAGGAUGACGGCCCUAUGGGUUGUAAACUGCUUUUAUACAGGAGUAAAAGGAGGUACGUGUGCCUGUUUGCAUGUACUUUAUGAAUAAGGAUCGGCUAACUCCGUGCCAGCAGCCGCGGUAAUACGGAGGAUGCGAGCGUUAUCCGGAUUUAUUGGGUUUAAAGGGUGCGUAGGCGGUCUGAUAAGUUAGAGGUGAAAUGCCGGGGCUCAACCCCGAAAGUGCCUCUGAUACUGUUGGACUAGAGAAUAGUUGCGGUAGGCGGAAUGUAUGGUGUAGCGGUGAAAUGCUUAGAGAUCAUACAGAACACCGAUUGCGAAGGCAGCUUACCAAGCUACAUCUGACGUUGAGGCACGAAAGCGUGGGUAGCAAACAGGAUUAGAUACCCGGGUAGUC
RNAcentral lists this ribosomal RNA (460 nucleotides) under uncultured bacterium. Its description in RNAcentral is "partial 16S ribosomal RNA". It matches the Rfam family "Bacterial small subunit ribosomal RNA", at positions 338 to 795 of the family's 1533-position model. The record is from RNAcentral.